AGAGGAGUUGUGAAGUGUCGGUGGAGCCCAGCUCAGCAGUCUGUCGCUCAUCUUUUCUCUUUUCUGACUUUCUCGGUGCAGGAUUGGAGGGGUCAUGAGGAGCACAGGCUCAUUGGGUUUUCUCCUUUUAAUCCCAGGCUCUCUUAAAAAACCUGUUUGUUUUUUAGUAUGUGUGUGUUUGCAUGUUCAGUGUGGUUUUAGUAUCAGUGAAAGGAAAAAAAACAGCUUUAAAUCAAUACUGAAUGUGUAAAAAGUCAAUGAUUUUUCAGUAUAAAAUGCUCUCCUGGAUUUCAUCAGCGCAUCAAGAUGGCGGCACUUUCGCAUGCAUCAGAAUGAGCAAUGGUAUAGCUGCCACUCUGACACUCAUGAUUGCCCGUAGAGGAGGAUGGACUUGAUUCGGAGCGGCACUCCCAUCACUCCGCCUAAUGAUGAGCAGGGUUGUCAAGGAGACGGAGAAUUGAGUAUCAUGGAUGAGGGGAGGCCAAGUACCCGUGGUAGGAAGGGAAAAUAUAGCAUGCUCUCCUGCCAAUUUAUACAGAGUCACAAGUGGAAAGAAAUAAUGACACCGAGCUUGGAAGAUGAAGGUUCAUGUCAUGUGGUAAUAAGGCGACUUUGAGGGUACUUCGACAUCUGACCUGAGCGGUUUCAAUCAAAACAAACUAACGAAAUACACUGACCAGUUUGGCCGUCAUUAGACAGCUGGAAAAACUGAUAACCAGGAGGGCUUAGUCUGCUUCCAAACAUCUGGAUACAAGCUUGAGUUGGUAGAGACAUAUUGUGGUUAUCAUUUCAUAACAAAAUCAGUUAUAAAAGAUAUGAAAUGAAUGCAAAUGUGAGACAGGCUUUCAUAUUAUCACGUCGUACAAAAAAGCAGAAUUGAGAGAGACAUUUAUUGAUUUUCCUCAUGCAGGUUCUUCAGAUUUUUUUGCGUCUUUCAUGAACAAACAGCUGAGGAGAAGCAGAAAAUGUGAUGGUGAAGGGGAAGGUAUAACAUGCACUGAAUGGUUGUAGUUUUGGAGGUCAAACCAGCAUCUAGAGCAUCAACUAUACUCUGUUUUGCUCAACUUGAGAGCAGGAUGCCUGAGGUAGGAAUCACUUCACAUUUGAGUUGACUGUGUUCCAGACACGAGUCAAAAUUAGUUUAGCCAUUAGCUUUUGUUCACUGUUCAUACCAGCAAUAACAAAUCACAGCAUGUUAGUAUAGAGCUGUGUGGCGCUGCAGUGGUUAGGGCAGUUUCUGGUUUGAAUCCCUGGGUGUGUGUUGGGGCUUUUCUGCGCAGAUUUUGCCCUUCCUCUCUGUUCAUGUGUGGUUCCCCGACAGUCCUAAAACACGCUUGUCAGGUGAAUGAUGCUCUAAAUCACCCUUUGGGAAUUUAAACCUCCUGUUAUCUCAAAAUUUUCUUCAUGAUUUUUUUUUUGGCUCACCUGUGAACAAAAAGGUGAGUAUUUAUUGAGAUUAUUUUUAGGCUUUUGAUGCCUGUAUUUAAGAGCGAGAGUAGAAGACUGGGAUGAGAGGGUCAGGGAUGACAUGCUGCCAAGUGCCACAGGUUGAUCUGAACUCAGGCCAUGUGCUUUGAGCGCUAAAGCCCCCCUGUACAGGGGGCAUUUGAUCUAAUCUCUGAGCUAAACCUGCUCUCUGCUCCUUUUAUUCUUUGACAUGUAAAACAGGAAAAUGAAAAAGCAGAGAUUCCCAGACGAGGCUAACAAAGGCUGUAAUUCCAUCAAACACUUCUGAUCUGCUUUAUAUUUCAAUAUCUCAAACGUGACGGCAGUAAUUCCCCGAAGCAUCUCUGCUGAUCUUAUCGCAUUUGCUAAACCAUCCAUCCACACCGGGAGGAACAAAUGCAAUAAAAAGGAGGUAAAGCAGAAGCCUCGUCUAAUCCAGCCUGAGGCGGACAGAGGCCGCAGCACGUUCACAUACCUCCUGUCUCCUUCAAGAGUUGACGUCACCGUCCCUCAUCUUGUCAUAAACCUGCCAAUUCCUCUCCUCCUGCCUGAGCCCCAGAAGAAUACCAGCUGCUGUGUUUUCAGCUCAUACCGCAUGUCAGACUGACCUUCCACCAUCUUCCUUCUGCUGCGGUAAAAGUUGUCAAAUCCUGGGAAGUUGGGUAACUUCACUUACGGUGAACUUAACAUAAACUCUCCCAGUUUGCAUGUUGCGCAACUCCCCCCUCCUCUCCGCUCAUCUGCUGUCCCUGUCCUGGCCUGUGAAGAAAAAUCCAGUUUGACAGCUUUAGUGACGGCAAGCAGAGGCACAUUCACAGAGUGCUGCUCUUUACUGUACAAACUGUUGCACUUCAAUUUCGACUGCAGCUCUUAGACACUGUCAUGCAGCGUGUCACACGCAGCUUCACUUUCUGACUCAAACUGCAAGAAUGUAUUCAGAGGUGGCUGCACUCUCUCCGUGCUUGUGGCCUAAUUGGAGUGGAAUUAAAUAUCUUUGGUUGAAAACCCAGCCAGCGCUGUAGAGGGCUUCCAUUUGCAUUUCAUAAAACGCAGCUUCCGCAGGAGAUAUCAGUCUUUCCCCCAGUAAUGGAAUCUUUUAUUCGGUCUAAUUUGAGCAGCUCUGCUUCUCAUGAGUCAUAAUCCUCGUUUGUGGCUCUGCCCUCUCAUUAAGGAAUAAAAUGUAAAUGACACUAACAGUACAGGAAAAAAACACAGUCCCAGAGCAUCUUCUAAGUCUGUGGCUGCAUUAACCUCCUUGUGAGUGUGUGUGUGUGUGUGUGUGUGUUUGUGUGCGUGGUAGAAAACUGUGAUGUUGUGCACAUAUGUAAAAUAUGCAUGAAUCACCCACGUGUUUUCUCAUAAAUGCAUCCGUCCUUUUUACUAUGACUCAGCAGGGGUUUUAUUCACAGCACGGCCUCUAUUUAUGUAGUUUAUUUCUGUCUUUUUAAAAUCUCCUAUAAAAGAGAUCCGUCAUGUAUGUUAUUGUUAUACUGUAAAAUCAUAUAAUACUGACAUGAAUUGAAGCCUACAUACAACUAAACUCAUAAGACUACAAAGUCACAGUUGAGAUUAUAUGAAGUGGAUAGUUUUAUUUGAUAUUUCCGAGUGAAUGAAAGCAAAAACAAAAAGUCUUUAUGACAUAACUAUUCAUUCUUUAUCUAAGAAUUCACUCUUAUCUUCAGGGAGCCCUCUCUUCUUUUCAUCUCAACCUUUUUUUUCCCUCUUUUAUUUAUUCCAGUCAUCUUGUUUCCUGCCGCAGCCUGUAAACUUGGCUGUGAGCUAAAAAUAAACUGGAUUGCUGGGAUAGUCCUCAUACCAGGAGAUGUGUUUAUAGCAGACGCAGAAGUUUCUCUCAAAAUGGAGAUGGCCGAGAUUACAUUAAACUUCUCUCCCCCUGAUCCUUUCAUGCAUAUUUCCAAAUAGACAAUCGCUUCUUUUGUGGAGCUGUCUCCUGAGCAGAUACGUGUAAUCCCUCAGCAGUCAAGGUGGUCCUGCAAACCUCUGUCCAAUCACCUCACCUAAGGCCCGGGGAAAUAGAGCAUGUAAUCGCUCACUGUCUGUCUCAGAAACUAAUAGGCAAGGGCUUAACUUGUGUGUGUGUGUCUGCAUGUGAGUGUGUGUGUGUGUGUGUGUGUGUGUGUGUGUGUGUGUGUGUAUGCGUGUGUGUGUGUGUGUCUGCAUGUGAGUGUGUGUGUGUUAGAGAGAGACUGCAUAUCAAACAUGUUGAUUUAUUUUGUGUUUUUGUGCCUUUUUUGGACUGAAUGUCGCACUUCAGCGCAGUGAAGUCUGUACUCUCUCUUGCUUUAUUUAUAUAUUUUUGCUCAGUGUCGUCUUUCAGGGUGUGAUUUUCUACUGCAAUAAGGAUUGUCUAUUUAAAAAAGAAAUCAUUUCUUGUUUUAAUAGUUGAUGGGUCAUGUUGUAACCAGGAAUAAAGAACUUUUUUUUUGCUCCUGCUUCUUAAAAGUAGGACUUUUGAUUGUUUUAUUCACAUCAGCCUCAUUAAACAAAGAGUCUUAGUUGUUGGUUGCACAUAAGACACAAUUUGAAAACAGCUUAUUUGAAAAACUAAAGAAUUGAUAUGUACAAUAAUGUGCAUAUUAUCCAUAAUAGGAAUGUUUAUUUGUUGUAGUUUGGAUGUGAAUCCUCUGCUUCAUAAUUCUCUGAGGGGUUAUUUUGUGGUCAGCAACUUGAGAUCUUUCCAUAAUUUUAAUCCAAGGAUUUACAGAAUUUUAUUACCAUUUAAGGCACUAAAAAUGCCACUGCCAAUUUCAAAGCCAUAUUGAGCCAGGUUAUGUAAUAUAGCCUUGUGAUUGACUGCCAACCUGUCCACGGUGGAUCCUCUCUAAUGCCCUAUGUGAGCUGGGAUAAGCGGUUUAAGAGUGGAGUGCAUGGAUGGUUAUGGAUUAUUUUGUAAUGACCUGUCACUCGUCACCGGAAAACUGAGCUUUACACACUCACUUUAAGAUUACCCUGCACUUUAGGAAUAACAGCACAUCAGGUGUGUUAGGUCAGGCUUCCUCAGUGAUGCCAAAAUUACUCUUAAUGAAUCCCGAACCAACUGUGGUUCAAAUUGCAGUUAGUAGAGCUGUCCCGAUACAAUAUUAAUAUUUGAUAAUCGAUCUGAUAUCAGCCAAAAAACAAAUAGCAGAUUCUAAAAUCUCCAAUAUCAGCACUCCGAUUCUAGCAGUCCAUUCCAGACUCCACUCCAACACCGACAUCUAGCAGCGCCUGGAUCCAGCGUGCAGAGUCCACACAAUCACAACAACAGUGUGUACCAAGGGACUAACAAAGUAGCAAGGAGUAAGACUGAUGCCGGCUGUGUGG
Non-coding RNA from Xyrichtys novacula (pearly razorfish), 4770 nucleotides. NCBI's taxonomy places the organism in Eukaryota, Metazoa, Chordata, Actinopteri, Labriformes, Labridae. The record is from the annotation of a GenBank genome assembly.